RNAcentral lists this ribosomal RNA (1296 nucleotides) under uncultured archaeon. RNAcentral describes it as "bacterial SSU rRNA". It matches the Rfam family "Bacterial small subunit ribosomal RNA", at positions 13 to 1387 of the family's 1533-position model. The record is from RNAcentral.
UUGAUCCUAGUUCAGGACGAACGCUAGCGGCGUGCCUAAGGUAUGCAAGUCGAACGGUUUGAUUGUCGCAAGAUAGUUGAAUAGUGGCGAACGGCUGAGUAAUACGCAGGAAUCUACCCAUAAGUAGAGGAUAGUCCCGCGAAAGCGGAAGUAAUACUCUAUGUGAUCGCAAGAUUAAAGUCGCAAGACGCUUAAGGAUGAGCCUGUGGCCUAUCAGGUAGUUGGUGGGGUAAUUGCCUACCAAGCCUAUGACGGGUAGCCGGUCUGAGAGGACGAACGGCCAGAAGGGCACUGAGACACGGGCCUUACUCCUACGGGAGGCAGCAAUUGGGAAUUUUGCACAAUGGACGAAAGUCUGAUGCAGCGACGCCGCGUGAAGGAUGACAGCCCUCGGGUUGUAAACUUCGAUAAAGCACCGGCAAACUACGUGCCAGCUGCAGCGGUCAUACGUAGGGUGCAAGCGUUGUCCGGAUUUACUCGGCGUAAAGAGUUCUGUAGGGGGUUGUGUAAGUUAAAAGUUAAAUCUCUCCGCUCAUCGGGGAAACUGCUUUUAAUACUGCAUAACUUGAGACAUCUAGGGGACAGCGGAACUUAUGGUGGAGCAGUGAAAUGCGUUGAUAUCAUAGGGAACACCAAGGGGGAAGCCAGCUGUCUGGGGAUGUACUGACGCUGAGAGACGAAAGCGUGGGUAGCGAAACGGAUUAGAUACCCGUGUAGUCCACGCCGUAAACCAUGCCUGCUAGAUACCUGGAUUUAUUUUGGGUGUCGAAGUUAACGCGUUAAGCAGGCCGCCUGGGGAGUACGGUCGCAAGGCUAAAACUCAAAGGAAUUGGCGGGGUCCCGCACAAGCGGUGGAGCAUGCUCUUUAAUUGGCUGGUAACCCAAGAACCUUACCCAGACUUGACAUGCUACCGUGUGUAGUCCCGCCGAAAGGCGGGAUGAUCCUCGGAUGGUAGCACAGGUGUUGCAUGGCUGUCGUCAGCUCGUAUCGUGAGACGUACCCUUAAGUGGGCUAACGAGCGCAACCCCUACUGUUAGUUGUAUCACUCUAGCGGAACUGCCCUGGUAACAGGGAGGAAGGUGGGGACGACGUCAAGUCAGGAUUGCCUUUAUGUCUGGGGCUAGAAGCAUGCUACAAUGGCGCGUACAGCGAGAAGCAAAUAGGCGACUAUGAGCAAAUCUCUUAAAACGCGUCUCAGUUCGGAUUGGAGUCUGCAAUUUGACUCCAUGAAGUUGGAAUCGCUAGUAAUCGGCGGUCAGCUAUACGCCGGUGAAUACGUUCUCGGGACUUGCACA